UGCCUGCACCAAAGGAUUCUGGGAAGGAGA
RNAcentral lists this non-coding RNA (30 nucleotides) under Homo sapiens (human). Lineage: Eukaryota; Metazoa; Chordata; Mammalia; Primates; Hominidae. The record is from RNAcentral.